AUUGAACGCUGGCGGCAGGCUUAACACAUGCAAGUCGAGCGGGGAAGGGUAGCUUGCUACCUAACCUAGCGACGGACGGGUGAGUAAUGCUUAGGAAUCUGCCAUUUAGUGGGGGACAACAUUCCGAAAGGAAUGCUAAUACCGCAUACGUCCUACGGGAGAAAGCAGGGGACCUUCGGACCUUGCGCUAAAUGAUGAGCCUAAGUCGGAUUAGCUAGUUGGUGGGGUAAAGGCCUACCAAGGCGACGAUCUGUAGCGGGUCUGAGGGGAUGAUCCGCCACACUGGGACUGAGACACGGCCCAGACUCCUACGGGAGGCAGCAGUGGGGAAUAUUGGACAAUGGGCGGAAGCCUGAUCCAGCCAUGCCGCGUGUGUGAAGAAGGCCUUAUGGUUGUAAAGCACUUUAAGCGAGGAGGAGGCUACUUAGAUUAAUACUCUAGGAUAGUGGACGUUACUCGCAGAAUAAGCACCGGCUAACUCUGUGCCAGCCGCCGCGGUAA
Molecule: ribosomal RNA, 501 nt
Filed under: uncultured bacterium
Lineage: Bacteria
Description: partial 16S ribosomal RNA
Rfam family: Bacterial small subunit ribosomal RNA
Source: RNAcentral